RNAcentral lists this ribosomal RNA (1459 nucleotides) under Staphylococcus pseudintermedius. RNAcentral describes it as "partial 23S ribosomal RNA". It matches the Rfam family "Bacterial large subunit ribosomal RNA", at positions 1270 to 2727 of the family's 2925-position model. Lineage: Bacteria; Bacillati; Bacillota; Bacilli; Caryophanales; Staphylococcaceae. The record is from RNAcentral.
CAUGUGGAGCGCUUAGAAGUGAGAAUGCCGGUGUGAGUAGCGAAAGACGGGUGAGAAUCCCGUCCACCGAUUGACUAAGGUUUCCAGAGGAAGGCUCGUCCGCUCUGGGUUAGUCGGGUCCUAAGCUGAGGCCGACAGGCGUAGGCGAUGGAUAACAGGUUGAUAUUCCUGUACCACCAUUAUUCGUUUUAAGCGAUGGGGGGACGCAGUAGGAUAGGCGAAGCGUGCUGUUGGAGUGCACGUCCAAGCAGUGAGAUUGAGUGUUAGGCAAAUCCGGCACUCUUAAGAUUGAGCUGUGAUGGGGAGAGGAACUUGUUCCUCGAGUCGUUGAUUUCACACUGCCGAGAAAAGCCUCUAGCUAGAAUAACGGUGCCCGUACCGCAAACCGACACAGGUAGUCAAGAUGAGAAUUCUAAGGUGAGCGAGCGAACUCUCGUUAAGGAACUCGGCAAAAUGACCCCGUAACUUCGGGAGAAGGGGUGCUCUUUGAGGUUCACGCUUCGAAGAGCCGCAGUGAAUAGGCCCAAGCGACUGUUUAUCAAAAACACAGGUCUCUGCUAAACCGUAAGGUGACGUAUAGGGGCUGACGCCUGCCCGGUGCUGGAAGGUUAAGAGGAGUGGUUAGCGCAAGCGAAGCUACGAAUCGAAGCCCCAGUAAACGGCGGCCGUAACUAUAACGGUCCUAAGGUAGCGAAAUUCCUUGUCGGGUAAGUUCCGACCCGCACGAAAGGCGUAACGAUUUGGGCACUGUCUCAACGAGAGACUCGGUGAAAUCAUAGUACCGGUGAAGAUGCCGGUUACCCGCGACAGGACGGAAAGACCCCGUGGAGCUUUACUGUAGCCUGAUAUUGAAAUUCGGUACAGUUUGUACAGGAUAGGUAGGAGCCUUAGAAGCGUGAGCGCUAGCUUACGUGGAGGCAUUGGUGGGAUACUACCCUAAUUGUAUUGGAUUUCUAACCCGCAGCACUUAUCGUGCUGGGAGACAGUGUCAGGCGGGCAGUUUGACUGGGGCGGUCGCCUCCUAAAGAGUAACGGAGGCGCUCAAAGGUUCCCUCAGAAUGGUUGGAAAUCAUUCAUAGAGUGUAAAGGCAUAAGGGAGCUUGACUGCGAGACCUACAAGUCGAGCAGGGUCGAAAGACGGACUUAGUGAUCCGGUGGUUCCGCAUGGAAGGGCCAUCGCUCAACGGAUAAAAGCUACCCCGGGGAUAACAGGCUUAUCUCCCCCAAGAGUUCACAUCGACGGGGAGGUUUGGCACCUCGAUGUCGGCUCAUCGCAUCCUGGGGCUGUAGUCGGUCCCAAGGGUUGGGCUGUUCGCCCAUUAAAGCGGUACGCGAGCUGGGUUCAGAACGUCGUGAGACAGUUCGGUCCCUAUCCGUCGUGGGCGUAGGAAAUUUGAGAGGAGCUGUCCUUAGUACGAGAGGACCGGGAUGGACAUACCUCUGGUGUACCAGUUGUCGU